RNAcentral lists this ribosomal RNA (814 nucleotides) under Pithecopus hypochondrialis (orange-legged leaf frog). RNAcentral's name for it is "Phyllomedusa hypochondrialis (orange-legged leaf frog) partial 12S ribosomal RNA". It matches the Rfam family "Bacterial small subunit ribosomal RNA", at positions 359 to 1442 of the family's 1533-position model. The record is from RNAcentral. Lineage: Eukaryota; Metazoa; Chordata; Amphibia; Anura; Hylidae.
GCACUCCCGUGAGAACGCCCUAAACCCCCUGUUCGGGUCACCNAGCUGGUAUCAGGCACACUAUUCAACCCAUGACACCUAGCUAUGCCACAUCCUCAAGGAAUUUCAGCAGUGAUCAAUAUUGAAAAUACGCGUCAGCGAGAUUCAGUUAAAGUACAGAGAGCCGGCAAAAUUGGUGCCAGCCGCCGCGGUUAUACCAAUAGACUCAAAUUGAUUAUAUCGGCGUAAAGCGUGAUUAAAGUCUUCACCAAUUAAAUAUAAAACCCUCACUAAGCUGUGACACGCUUGUGCCUGGAGAAAAUCAAAAACGUAAGUUAUUUUAAUUAACUCCCACUUGAAUUCACGACAGUUAAGACACAAACUGGGAUUAGAUACCCCACUAUGCCUAACCGUAAACUUUAAAUUACAACAUAAACGCCAGAGAACUACGAGCAAAGCUUAAAACUCAAAGGACUUGACGGUACCCCACAUCCACCUAGAGGAGCCUGUCCUAUAAUCGAUAACCCCCGCUUUACCUCACCAUUUUUAGUCGUCAGCCUGUAUACCUCCGUCGUCAGCUUACCACGUGAGCGACCCACAGUGAGCCUAAUGUCUACACGUCAACACGUCAGGUCAAGGUGCAGCUAACAAAAUGUGGAAGAGAUGGGCUACACUCUCUAAUUUAGAAGACACGAAAAACUUUAUGAAAUCUAGUUAAAAGGCGGAUUUAGCAGUAAAAAGAAACUAGAGAGUUCUUUUUAAUUUGGCACUGGGGUGUGUACACACCGCCGGUNACCCUCUUCAAAACACCAUUUGAUAGUAUUUAACUAACUUC